GAGUAGCGAGGGCUUAUAUACAUUGCCCCUACAGUGAGAGGGCGCUCGACCAGAAUUCGGUCGCGCAACAUUGAGUAUCUUGCCGGUGUGUUUGUGAGGAGGGAAGAGCGUGCAGACACGUUGCUCCUCGCAAGUGAAACACCAAUCUUAAAUCAUUUUCUGUUCUGUUAGGCCUAAAUAAGUUUAGAAUAUAUCUAAAAUUAUUUUUCAUGAAUAAAAAUCUUAAAUCAAAGAUGUUUAUUGCCUAUGAAAAUGCAAUUUGAGCAGGUGAAUGACGAUGGUGACGAAGUUGGUGAAUUUGACCAAGGCUCAUUUUGAUUGCCUUUGCGUGAUUGAGUUGAAAUCUACAUCUUUCUCAAAUGAUAAGGCAAAUGAUGUGCCUACGUUAGGCCUAAAUAAGUUAAGAAUAUACCUACAAUUAUUUUUAUUAAUAAAAAUCCUUAAAACAAAGAUGUUUAUUGCCUGUGAAAAUGCAAUAUGAGCAGAUGAAUGACGAUGGUGACGAAGUUAGCGAAUUUGACCAGUGCUCAUUUUGAUAUUGCCUUUGCGUGAUUGAGAUUAAGUCUUAGUGAUUUCCUUUUUGGCCUCAAUAGUCAAACUCAACCUCAAUAGUUAAACUGUGUUAUUUUCAAUGUUAUUAUUAAUUUGAAUAAUACAUCCGGUUCCAGGGAGGAUGGACCCCCCAAGAAAAAAAAAGAAAAAAGGCUCUCCCACGAGUGUUAUUUUAAAAGACGUCAUUGCUAGAUCAAAGGCUGGAAAAUUGCCCCUCAAUUUUGCCCGUCCCUCACAUAUCAAAGGUCUGCGGCUGAUUUUUUUGGUCGUUUUAAUUUAAAAUAAGGGGCCUUUUAAUAUCGUCAUCAUUGCUAAUAACAUCAAUCGAAACUGGAUAACAAUCAUGUUGACGAAUUCGGUUAGAAUUAUCAGACAGUUACCUGUAACCUGUUGUGAAUUCAAUUGGAAUUCAGUUGCCCGAGUUAGGCCUAAAGUGAUUUAUAGAAUUAAUAAAAUGUCCCUUUCGUCUAAUAUCAAUUUUAAAUUCUUUGAGUUCAUACUUUCAAUGACUUUUCAAACAGAUAUCAAAAUCUUUACUAACAGUAUAUCCAACAGCAGGUUGACAACUCGGUAUUGGAUGGUAGACAAGAUGUAAAGGAGGGCGACUGAGGUAUAUGGGAUACCUAGAUCAACGCAUAGGGAUAAAUUUCUCCACAGAUCGAUGGGAAGACACCAGUAAAAUCACUGCAUGUUUCCAGCCCUUACCUGUCCGUUGCUAUGGAAGCAAAUUUGGCGGCAUGGGAACAGCGGAUGGCAAAAUUCGGGGUGAAGAGACUAGAGUUACAGCAGAUGAUUCAAAAUUAAUUGUCGGUCUCGUCGUUAUUUUGUCUUUCUUUCCCUCUGAAUUUUUCUCGUUCAUUUUCGGGGGAUUUAAAGGACCAUUGAUGUAGUAAAGGAAAUGACAAUAGCGAGGGCAGUAGUUUUGUGUUUUAAUAUGGAACCGGUAAAUGAUGAUGUUGAAGGAAGUUGCAAUAAAACAAUAAGCAUAAUUAUGAAAAGGAUAGUGUAAGAAUAAUAGAUGAAGGCCAAUAUGAUGAAAUUAAUUUAUGUACAUUAACUUCAUUCAAAUUGUUUCAUCAAGAAGGCGUACCACACUUGUAUUCAAGAAAGAUUUAGCAUUGAGUGAAUUAAACAUAGUCUUCAAUGACCUCUUAUAUCACAAUGUUCCCUAAAACUUUGUUUGAUUUAUAAAAGGAAUGAUAUGAAAUCAAAAUUUCCUCUUCGCUUCCCCUAUAUCGGAGGCCGACGUAGAUCUUAUAAGUAUCAUUGAGCCAUUAAUUUGAUUGUAAAAAAUUUAAACUAAUAUUAAAUCCAAAAAAUGACAAAGAAAAUAUAUAUUCUACGCAGUUGUUACGCCCUGGUACUAAUUAUUUUGCAGUGCAAGAUUGAUUUUUACAUUCUAUUGUUUGUAUUCAUAUCAUUCUUAAUUUUAUAUAAAUUUUAUGUAUUGUACGUAGAUGGCCAAACAGUAAAUUUUGUUACAGAGUAUUUGAUUUAUUGAUUUCUUUCCAUUUAUGAAAGACACGAGUAUGAAACCUAUUUGCCAUUUGUAUUAAUUCUACAUUCACCUUGCCUUUCAUUUCAUAGACUGAAAAAAAUAAACAACAUCUUGACUGCAAAGA
Lytechinus pictus (painted urchin) is the source of this 2174-nucleotide long non-coding RNA. RefSeq lists it as uncharacterized. The transcript is spliced from 2 exons. The record is from RefSeq and is a predicted model, not a curated record. Lineage: Eukaryota; Metazoa; Echinodermata; Echinoidea; Temnopleuroida; Toxopneustidae.